This is a long non-coding RNA of Equus caballus (horse), 1869 nucleotides long. NCBI's taxonomy places the organism in Eukaryota, Metazoa, Chordata, Mammalia, Perissodactyla, Equidae. The record is from Ensembl.
GUGUGCGCGUGCGUGUGCGCGGGGGCGCGCGCCGGCGGCGGGGGCGGCGGCGGGCCGGGGCGCUCCGGUGGGAAGGGAGGGGUGAAAGGUCGCCGGUCCCCGGCAACACGGCUCAGGCAAACGUAAGCGGCUUGUCGCAGCAACCGAGGGGUCCAAGAAACGCGCUAGGCGGGAAGGCGGGAAGCAGAGAUUACGGACAGCCGUGGCAGCCAAUAAAAUGGAAAUGUGGGAAAGCUCUCCGGGCCCCUUCCCAAUCAGGGAACUUGGGGCUGAGAGGGAGGGAAGGGGCGGGGUGGCAUCUCGGGUCCGGCCGGGACUGGAGCGGCGACAGUUUUGGCUAGUCGGAGAAGGGCAUUCGAGUGACCGUUGACAACGGGUGGGACAGCGUGAAAGCUGAGGGAAGAACCUUAAGUGUGUGCUUCCAGGACUUCGGGCUAGGUGUAUCCGUGUUUACGUUUGAGAGUUAGGAGCAUCGAGGAGGCAUUGGGAUGAAAGGCAGAUGACAGUCUGCUGAAUGAAGAAGAGAAUGACGUUUAGUUUGGGAAUAAAAGUUCAUCUGGAGUAUGAAAAACACGUUUGCCUCAAGUCAGGGAGGAAGAUUGACUGAGAGCUGAAAGAAAGGGAAAGCAGGUGCUCCUGAUGAGCUUGAAGAUUCGACCCCCUCUACACCUGGCUCUGAUAUACCUGAUAAGGGCCUUGGAUAUGAGCUGAUACCAUAAAGGAAUGGGAAUUUGCAGAGGUCUGGGAAGGUGGUACGUAUCUUAUCUCUGGAAAGAGGUACUUUGGUUUACCCCUGCUUAAAAACAACAGGCAAGGGGCCAGCCCCGUGGCUAAGUUUCUACUCUCCGCUUUGGCAGCCCAGGGUUCACCAGUUCGGAUCCUGGGUGCAGACCUACGCACCACUCAUCAAGCCAUGCUAUGGCAGCAUCCCACAUAGAAGAACUAGAAUCACUUACAACUAGGAUAUACACCUAUGUACUGGGGCUAUGGGAAGGAAAAAAAAGGGGGAAGAUUGGCAACAGAUGUUAGCUCAGGGCCAACCUUCCUCAAAAAACAAAACAUAAAACCCAAAACCAACCAAACAAACAAAAAACAGCACGCAAGAGAUAAGGUCUAUUAAUCUUAUGUCCUUUCCAUAAAAGGAAAACAAAUGUUAGAUGUCUGUAUCAGAAUGUCUUAGCUCCCAAGUAGGAUAUUUUCCUGGGGUUCCGACAUAACCGGUAGUAUUUGACAAUUUGAUAUGCUUUGAACUGGCUUUGAAAAACAUGCCCAUAAACAAAAGCAACUAACGUUUAACGGUGGUCUUUUAGGGAACUUGUUAGGUGGUUAAGUUUAGAGCAGGAAAAUCCUUUAAAGAUUUUCAAUAUAUUUUUAAAUUAUUCCUUAAAAGAAAAAAAAUUUGCUGUCAUAUUUAGUUUUCCAACUUUUAUUAACAAACUAAGAUCAAGUUGUUCUAAUUAUUACUUUGAGUGAAUAUCAGCAGUUUGGUAUUAAAUAAGUUAGUUAUUAUCUACUAUAAAUAAUAGAUCCUUAUAUUAGUGCCAAUCAAUGCUAGGUAUUUUAUAAACUUUUCAGUAUCUUUGGUAAUGUUUGACUCAGAUUUUUUAAAUUAAGAUUAGGUUUAACACUUUGUCCAGGUUGGCCCAGAACAGACUCAGUUUAUGCCCAUUGUCUCAUUAUUACCAUUAUCAUUAUUAAUAUUAUUGCCCUCUCUUAUUCACAAACUGUACUUGUUUGAAUGAUAAAUUAUAUGGUUACCUUAUCUCAAGUGGUAGUUAUAUCUAAGAUAAAACUAUGCACACUUAGAAAAGAAUAUUAGAAAUGUUUAAAUAUUUUAAAGGUUAAUAAUUUUUUUUUGCCAAAUAAUAG